This 1230-nucleotide ribosomal RNA is filed under the name Leptocotis tenuirostris. Its description in RNAcentral is "bacterial SSU rRNA". It matches the Rfam family "Eukaryotic small subunit ribosomal RNA", at positions 588 to 1454 of the family's 1831-position model. Lineage: Eukaryota; Metazoa; Arthropoda; Malacostraca; Amphipoda; Oxycephalidae. The record is from RNAcentral.
CAGCUCCAGUGGCGUAUGCCAAUGUUGCUGCGGUUAAAAGGCUCGCAGUUGAAUGUCAGUUAUAAUACGCGAUGAGAUGCCGGGACGUUGUUCGUGUGUUUGACCUCGUGUCUCGCUCGUUCCGUCCCCUGAGCGCAUUUCUCGCAAUCUAACAAUAAUUACAGAGCCCGUCGCGGAUGUGCACAAGUGUCAUUUGCUAACGCUUUUGAUACGUAUGUUCGUGGUAGCUCUGUAGUUGACACCUUGAGUAAAUCAGAGUGCUUAACGCAGUCGUUUAAAUACCGGCUUCUCGUUUGCGGUUCGCCCGUGAGCAAGUUUGCCAGUGGCGGAUUUAUCCGUUUAGACAUUGUCUUUGCUUUGCAUGGUACGUCGAAAGACGCCGUGUAAGUUGGUCGCGCUUACGGUUAGACACACGUUUUUGUGUGCGCGUGCACCAACGAGCACGGAAUGAUAUGAAAGGGAUGGUUCGAAGGCAUUGGUAUUGCCGGGCGAGAGGUGAAAUUCUAUGACCCCCGCAAGACUCCCCGAAGCGAAAGCGUCUGCCUAGGACGUCUUCAUUAAUCAUGAACGAAAGUUGAAGGAUCGAAGGCGAUCAGAUACCGCCCUAGUUUUAACCGUAAACUAUACCAACCAUCAAUCCGUCGGAGCGUUCCCUUACUCCCGUUGAUCGGCUAUGCUGUGAUACGUGGACAAGUGUAAGCUCGAUGGGCAGCUCCUCCACCUACGGAAAACCAGAGUGUUUCGGUUCCGGGGGGAGUCUGGUUGCAAAGCUGAAACUUAAAGGAAUUGACGGAAAGGCACCACCAGGCGUGGAGCUUGCGGCUCAAUUUGACUCAACACGGGAAAUCUCACCAGACCCAAACAUCUUUAAUGACUGACAGACUGAAAGCUCUUUCUUGAUAAAGUGGAUGGUGGUGCAUGGCCGUUCUUAGUUGGUGGAGUGAUCUGUCUGGUUAAUUCCGAUAACGAACGAGACUCUCCCCUGCUAACGAACCUUGUGUUCUUGUAGACAGUGUGAUUCGAAUCACGAAUUCUGCUCGCGAGAGCUUAUUCUGACGAUGUCCACUGAUCCUUGCUGCGUCGUGAGUGGUGCUUUGAAUUGGUGCUCGAGCGUGAGUUGAUGCGAGAUUAACGUCUCUGCGUCGCUUGUGUUCGUUGUUGCCGUUCGAGUCCCUUUCGGCUGUGGCUUGRAGUAUUUUUCUUCUUAGAGGGAUUGUCGGCUAGCAAGUC